GCCAGGCAUGGUGGCGCACGCCUGUAAUCCCAGCUACUUGGGAGGCUGAGGCAGGAGAAGUGCUUGAACCCAGGAGGUGGAGGUUGCAGUGAGCCAAGAUCGCUCCACUGCACUCCAGCCUGGGUGACAGAGCGAGACUCUGUCUCAA
RNAcentral lists this non-coding RNA (148 nucleotides) under Nomascus leucogenys (northern white-cheeked gibbon). Lineage: Eukaryota; Metazoa; Chordata; Mammalia; Primates; Hylobatidae. The record is from Rfam by way of RNAcentral.